UUAAAUUGAAGAGUUUGAUCAUGGCUCAGAUUGAACGCUGGCGGCAGGCCUAACACAUGCAAGUCGAACGGUAACAGGAAGCAGCUUGCUGCUUCGCUGACGAGUGGCGGACGGGUGAGUAAUGUCUGGGAAACUGCCUGAUGGAGGGGGAUAACUACUGGAAACGGUGGCUAAUACCGCAUAACGUCGCAAGACCAAAGAGGGGGA
RNAcentral lists this ribosomal RNA (207 nucleotides) under Salmonella enterica subsp. enterica serovar Enteritidis. RNAcentral's name for it is "partial 16S ribosomal RNA". It matches the Rfam family "Bacterial small subunit ribosomal RNA", at positions 1 to 213 of the family's 1533-position model. The record is from RNAcentral. Lineage: Bacteria; Pseudomonadati; Pseudomonadota; Gammaproteobacteria; Enterobacterales; Enterobacteriaceae.